AUGAACGCUGGCGGCGUGCCUAAUACCUGCAAGUCGAGCGAACAGACGAGGAGCUUGCUCCUCUGACGUUCGCGGCGGACGGGUGAGUAACACGUGGAUAACCUACCUAUAAGACUGGGAUAACUUCGGGAAACCGGAGCUAAUACCGGAUAAUAUAUUGAACCGCAUGGUUCAAUAGUGAAAGACGGUUUUGCUGUCACUUAUAGAUGGAUCCGCGCCGCAUUAGCUAGUUGGUAAGGUAACGGCUUACCAAGGCGACGAUGCGUAGCCGACCUGAGAGGGUGAUCGGCCACACUGGAACUGAGACACGGUCCAGACUCCUACGGGAGGCAGCAGUAGGGAAUCUUCCGCAAUGGGCGAAAGCCUGACGGAGCAACGCCGCGUGAGUGAUGAAGGUCUUCGGAUCGUAAAACUCUGUUAUUAGGGAAGAACAAAUGUGUAAGUAACUAUGCACGUCUUGACGGUACCUAAUCAGAAAGCCACGGCUAACUACGUG
RNAcentral lists this ribosomal RNA (496 nucleotides) under uncultured bacterium. RNAcentral's name for it is "partial 16S ribosomal RNA". It matches the Rfam family "Bacterial small subunit ribosomal RNA", at positions 29 to 507 of the family's 1533-position model. The record is from RNAcentral.